Molecule: long non-coding RNA, 21607 nt
Filed under: Ananas comosus (pineapple)
Lineage: Eukaryota; Viridiplantae; Streptophyta; Magnoliopsida; Poales; Bromeliaceae
Description: long non-coding RNA (ACOM_LNC012600)
Source: RNAcentral
CAUCCGCUACUAGGUGCAUAAUAUUAUCAUUCUUCAAAAUUCUGUCAAUUAAUGUAUGCUAUAUGAUUAGCUCACCUGAUUUCCACCAAGCACAAAAGUAAAAAUAUUACAAUUAUUUCUAAAAUAUUUUCAUACUUCAAUCUCUAUGGUACAAACACUUGCAAUAUUUUCUCAUUUUGAAAUUGGAUAAACAGUUUACUCCAUUUACGCAAUGCCAAAAAAGUAUUCCAACUAUUCCUUAAUUCAUCAUAUCACAUCAAUGUCCAUCACAUAUAUAUAUAUAUAUAUCUUUUUUUUUCUCUUUAUUUAAAGUCAGAUAUAGUCAAAUUGAAAGUACGAGACGAGAUGAAACUGAAAGCGCAAUGCACAGAUGUAGGGAUGCACAUGGUGCAGUAGAAAGUAGAAAGCUACUCUCUCUCUCUCUCUCUCUCUCUCUCUCUCCCCUUACUUUUUCCCUAGCAUGAAAGGUCAAGUUGCAUGAAUCCUCCUCUCUCUCUCUCUCUCUCUCUCUCUCUCUCUCUCUUAAAAGAAUGUAUAAUUACAAAGCUGAGGUGUUCUCUAUCUACUAACAGCACAAAGAUAACAUGGGAAGAUUCCCAGGGAAGCCAAAAUGAAAUGCUCUCUCAAGUGCUCUUUGUUCACUUGGCCACAAUAUAAGGCUAAGGGAUUUAAAAUUCUAAAAUUAAUUGUUGGGUUUUUCAUUCAUAUAUAUGGGGAGGAGAAUCAGGAGGAAAAGAAGGUGAAAGGUAGUUGAGAAAGGUUAUUGAGUAUAUAUUAAUUUGAUUUGAUUUGUAUGAAAGGACAAUGGUCAUGGUAGUUUUGUACUAUACAUGUCUCAUAACUAAUCCUUUUCCUCUACAAGUUGAGUUAAAGUAAAGCUUUUGUUUUUUUUUUUUUUUUUUUUUUUUUUUNAUAUUUUAUAAUAAUUUACUAAUAUGCUGAUUUGAAAAACUGCUACAAUUCACAAAAAAAAAGAGUUUAAUUCAUGAGCAGAAUUAUAAUUUUAAUAAUAAAAAAAUUAAAAGAAAACUAUCACACAAAAUUUUAAAUAAAAAGUAGUAAAACUAGCUAGUAUAAGUGGGCAAAGCAUUUUCUUAAUGAAUAUUUAUAUUUAUUAUAUAUGUACUCAGACGUUUAAUUCGAUUGAUUUUUUAAAUAAUAUCGUAUCGCGGCUAAUUUUAAAUUCUGUCAAUUUUCUUAAAUCAUAAGUUCAGAUAUCAAAUUGUAAAAAUUGGAUAACAAGAAACAUUAUCCUGUUUAGAUAAUUCACUUAAAAAAAAGAAAAAAAAAGAAAGAAAGAAAAGAUGAAUCCAAUAAUGCAUCUGUGGGAAUGAAUCCUCUCCUAGGGCUUCUAGAGCCCCAGUAGUUCUACAAAAGGAGAUAAAAAUUUAUAAUAAAAAAGGACUAUUUCAAGUGUCAGAUGACUCUGUACUAUUCAACUAGGUUUGUUAUAGGAGUUCAAAAAAAAAAAAAAAAAAAAUUUUCCCAAAACUUCCAUUAAUAUUUCUUUUUGUUUAAAAGAGCAUGUGAGAAAGUGUAUAAAGAGCCAAAUUUUUUACUGUUGUUGUAUAAAUAGAUUAUUUAAGGAGUCUCUGAUGUGAACAGCAGUGGAUUCAGAGGAAUUAUUAGUGCUUUUUGUAAAAGCAGAUUUAACAUCUGAAAAAAGUCAAAUCACUUAUUUUUUUUUAAGUCCCUAUAAUUGUUAUUUAAGUUGGGUUUAGUAAAAUCAUUUAGUAGCUUUCUAUUAAAUUAAGCCCUUUUAAUUUCUAUGCAAGAUAUGUAUUUUACCUAACAACUUCAAGAUCAAGCAAGUGUUUCACUCAAGAAAGUAUCCACUUAAUGCUAAGUAUUUGUUCGGCCCGCUUUAAUUUGUAUUUUUAGUUACUGAAUCUGUAAUGUAGUAUUUUUCAAAUAGAAAAAUUUAAAAUUUUUGUUACGAUGAGAGAUAAGUAUAUGAUUUGGAUGCUCAAAAAUUUUUUUAGUGAAUUAUAGUAUAGUGUUUGUUGAAUAAUAUUGUACUCUAUAGUAAGACCAAAUAGAUCAUCAGUAUAUUUUCACACUUUUCACAGUUAUUCUCUUCCCACCCUAAACCAAAAAGUUAACCUAAUAGACUAUAUAACUUUGCUAUAAAAACUUUAAGAAAAGAGCUUUAUUAUUAGCUUCAAUCUUCAUCAAGAAGGUUAAAAAAGCUUAAUAAACUCUCUCUCUCUCUCUCUCUCUCUCUCUCUCUCUCAAACACAAAAGAAGAUGAAAAGGACAACCUCAACUCAUAUGAUAGCACAUUCUAUCCACAUUUGAUGUUUGGAACAUGUCUCCAAUUAAAUUAAAGGAUAAACUUUAAAAACCAUACCUGUAGUGUCGCACUUCUCACUUCAGUAUUAUGUAGUUAAAAAUGUAUCAAGUUAGUUUUCUAUGAUUUCAUUUUUAUUUUUUCAUCAACUUUUUCAUUAAUAUUUCGUUAAAUUAUAUACAAAAAACUUUAAAUUUUCUAUCUAGAUUUAUUGAAUAUUCACUUUAGUAUUCUUUAGUUUUAACUUUGUCACUCAUAUAAUGAAAAAAAUUAGUAGAAUCGAUAAUAAACCUUAAACCCUAAAUCAACAAAAAAAUCACAUGACACUAAAUUGAUACACUUUAAACCACAAGGUGUGAAACAACCGGGGUGGAAUUUAAAGUUUUUCCUAAAUUAAAAUCCAAAGGCUAAAUUGCAUUUUGGUCCUCAAACUAUGAAGCGCAUAACACUUCGAUCCUCAAAUGUUAAUUUGUUAUAAUUUCAAGUCGGAAUACUUUAGUUAUUGCAAUUAAGUCCUAUAGUAUAAUUUAGUUGGUUAAAUAAUAAUAUAUCGUUUAUGUGGUAAUGAUACAACAGUAUGAGUUGUACCGACUGUCCCUAGCGCAAGUGGCAAAGGGUUUGGCUGUUGGUAUCCGAGGUCCCGAGUUCGAAUCCGAAUUGAUUCACAUAUUCAGCUAAGUUUAUUUUUAAAUGAAAUAAACGAAACGGAUAGCAUGCUAUCUAUCUCUCUCAAAAACAAAAAAAAGAUACAACAGUAUGAAAUUUAAUUGCAAUAAUUUAAAAAGUUGAAUCAAAAGUUAUAAUAUAUUAAAAUUUGAGAAAUGAAAUGUCACUAGUUUAUAGUUUGGGGAUCAAUAGUGCAAUUUAGCCAAAUCCACAUCUAAACUCUCCUACUAAUUGAUCUCUCAUUACAGCCUGUUUCAGAGCCCAUAACCCCCACGAGCUCUCAAAUAUUUUAAUUUAAAAAAAAUAAAAAACAAAUAAAACAAUCACAACAUUAAGCAAAAACCUUAAAAAAUGUUAAAACCAUUUCCUCCCAUCUCCAUCAUCAUCUACAUAAUAUAUAUAACCAAAAACUCUAACUUCGUUUUCUCUGACCGUCGCGAAUGAUCUCUCUGUUUCUUUGGUCCAAAUGAAGCAGAGAUAAGAGAAAAAAAAAAAAAAAAAAAAAUUCAGCAGAGAAAGAGGAGCCACAUCGCAAUGCCUAACUAUUCUAAGUUGCUUCUCUUCUGCUUGUUCUUGUCCGUGACCUUGUUCUUCUCCUGCAAUGCAGGAGGGGCCGCGAGCAGCUUUGACGAGACGUNAAAACAAUAGGUUAAAAAUGUUAAACUAUAGACUUGAAUACUAAAUUCUUUUAACUGUCUUAAAUUUUAAUCGGCGCUAUGCUAUAAUAAAUUUUUUAGUUAGCUUAAUUUGCAGACUCAUGUAUAACAUCAUCCUGCUUAGAUAAUUCACUUAAAAAAAAGAAAAAAAAAAAAGAAGAUGAAUCCAAUAAUGCAUAUGUGGGAAUGAAUCCUCUCCUAGGGCUUCUAUAGCCCCAGUAGUUCUACAAAAGGAGAUAAAAAUUUAUAAUAAAAAAGGACUAUUUCAAGUGUCAGAUGACUCUGUACUUUUCAACUAGGUUUGUUCUAGGAGUUCAAAAAAAAAAAAAAAUUUAUAUUUUCCCAAAACUUCCAUUAAUAUUUCUUUUUGUUUAAAAGGGCAUGUGAGAAAGUGUAUAAUUAAAGAGCCAAAUUUUUUAUUGUUGUUGUAUAAAUAGAUUAUUUAAGGAGUCUCUGAUGUAAACAGCAGUGGAUUCAGAGGAAUUAUUAGUGCUUUUUGUAAAAGCAGAUUUAACAUCUGAAAAAAGUCAAAUCACCUUUUUUUUUUAAGUCCCUAUAAUUGUUAUUUAAGUUGGGUUUAGUAAAAUUAUUUAGUAGCUUUCUAUUAAAUUAAGCCCUUUUAAUUUCUAUGCAAGAUAUGUAUGUUAUCUAACAACUUCAAGAUCAAGCAAGUGUUUCACUCAAGAAAGUAUCCACUUAAUGCUAAGUAUUUGUUCGGCCCGCUUUAAUUUGUAUUUUUAGUUACUGAAUCUGUAAUGUGGUAUUUUUCAAAUAGAAAAAUUUAAAAUUUUUGUUACGAUGAGAGGUAAAUAUAUGAUUUGGACGCUCUAAAAUUUUUUUAGUGAAUUAUAGUGUAGUGUUUGUUGAAUAAUAUUGUACUCUAAAGUAAGACCAAAUAGAUCAUCAGUAUAUUUUCACACUUUUCACAGUUAUUUUCUUUCCACCCUAAACCAAAAAGUUAACCUAAUAGUCUCUAUGUAACUUUGCUAUGAAAACUUUAAGAAAAGAGCUUUAUUAUUAGCUUCAAUCUUCAUCAAGUAGGUUAAAAAAGCUUAAUAAACUCUCUCUCUCUCUCUCACACACAAAAGAAGAUGAAAAGGACAACCUCAACUCAUAUGAUAGCACAUUCUAUCCACAUUUGAUGUUUGGAACAUGUCUCCAAUUAAAUUAAAGGAUAAACUUUAAAAACCAUACCUGUAGUGUCGCACUUCUCACUUUAAUAUUUGUAGUUAAAAAUGUAUCAAGUUAGUUUUCUAUGGUUUCAUUUUUAUUUUUUCGUCAACUUUUUCAUUAAUAUUUUUUGUUAAAUUAUAUACAAAAAACUUUAAAUUUUCUAUCUAGAUUUAUUGAAUAUUCACUUUAGUAUCCUUUAGUUUUAACUUUGUCACUGAUGUAACAAAAAAAAUUAAUAGAAUCGAUAAUAAACCCUAAACCCUAAAUCAACAUAAAACUACAUGACACUAAAUUGAUACACUUUAAACCACAAGGUGUGAAACCACCGGGGUGGAAUUUAAAGUUUUUCCUAAAUUAAAAUCCAAAGGCUAAAUUGCAUUUUGGUCCUCAAACUAUGAAGCGCGUAACACUUCGAUCCUCAAACGUUAAUUUGUUAUAAUUUCAAGUCGGAAUACUUUAGUUAUUGUAAUUAAGUCCUAUAGUAUAAUUUAGUUGGUUAAAUAAUAAUAUAUCGUUUAUGUGAUAAUGAUACAACAGUAUGAGUUGUACCGACUGUCCCUAGCGCAAGUGGCAAAGGGUUUGACGGUUGGUAUCCGAGGUCCCGAGUUCGAAUCCUAGUUGAUUCACAUAUUCAGCUAAAUUUAUUUUUAAAUGAAAUAAACGAAACGGAUAGCAUGCUAUCUAUCUCUCUCAAAAACAAAGAAAGAUACAACAGUAUGAAAUUUAAUUGCAAUAAUUUAAAAAGUUGAAUCAAAAGUUAUAGUAUAUUAAAAUUUGAGAAAUGAAAUGUCACUAGUUUAUAGUUUGGGGAUCAAUAGUGCAAUUUGGCCAAAUCCACAUCUAAACUCUCCUACUAAUUGAUCUCUCAUUACAGCCUGUUUCAGAGCCCAUAACCCCCACGAGCUCUCAAAUAUUUUAAUUUAAAAAAAAAAAUAAAAAACAAAUAAAACAAUCACAACAUUAAGCAAAAACCUUAAAAAAUGUUGAAACCAUUUCCUCCCAUCUCCAUCAUUCAUGUACAUAAUAUAUAUAUACAUAUAACCAAAAACUCUAACUUCGUUUUCUCUGACCGUCGCGAAUGAUCUCUUCGUUUCUUCGGACCAAAUGAAGCAGAGAUAAGAGAAAAAAAAGAAAAAAAAAAUUCAGCAGAGAAAGAGGAGCCGCAUCACAAUGCCUAACUAUUCUAAGUUACUUAUCUUCUGCUUGUUCUUAUUCGUGACCUUAUUAUUCUCCUGCAAUGCAGGAGGGGCCGCGAGCAGUUUUGACGAGACGUCAGCGCUGCUCGCGUUUAAAUCGGCUCUGGUCGAUCCGCUCGGCGCGUUAAGUGGCUGGGCCAGCGGCCUCCCGCACUGUGGCUGGCCCGGCGUGGGCUGCGGCACAGCCGGUACCGUCCUGCGGCUCGACCUCUCCUGCAUGAACCUCAGCGGCACCGUCUCCGACGACAUUCUCCGCCUCCCGAGCCUCGCCUAUCUCAACCUCUCGUACAAUUCAUUCUCCACCGCGCUCCCCGCGUCCCUCGCCGCGCUCUUGGCGCUCGAGGUGUUCGACGUGAGCCAGAACAACUUCGCGGGCGAGUUCCCCGCCGGGCUCGGCGCCUGCGCCGGCCUUGUAACCGUCAAUGCGUCCGGGAACAACUUCGUCGGCGUGUUACCGGAGGACCUGUCGAAUGCGACGUCGCUAGAGGUCAUCGACCUCCGCGGGAGCUUCUUCGAGGGCCCGAUACAGCCGUCCUACGGCAGCUUCCGGAAGCUCAAGUUUCUAGGCCUCUCCGGCAAUAACAUCACCGGAAAGAUCCCCGUUGAGCUCGGCGGCGUCUCCUCGUUGGAGAAGCUCAUAAUUGGAUACAACGAGCUCGAAGGGACCAUCCCCGCGGAGUUCGGGAACCUCGCGAAUCUCCGGUACCUCGACCUCGCGGUCGGGAACCUGAACGGACCGAUCCCGCCCGAGUUAGGCCGGCUGCGGAGCCUGACCACGCUCUACCUGUACAAGAACAAUCUCGACGGCAUGAUCCCGAAGGAGAUCGGGAACGCGUCGGCGCUUGCCUAUCUCGACCUCUCCGACAACUCGAUCGCGGGGCCGAUACCGGCCGAAUUGGCGCAGCUGGCGAAUCUGCAGCUGCUGAACGUCAUGUGCAACCGGCUGAAGGGCCCGGUACCGGCCGGGAUCGGGGAAUUGGCGCGGCUGGAGGUGCUGGAGCUGUGGAACAACUCGCUGACCGGCCCGCUCCCCGCGGGGCUCGGCCAGAGCUCUGCGCUGCAGUGGCUCGACGUGUCGUCGAACAUGCUCUCCGGCCCGAUCCCCGCCGGCCUCUGCGCCGGCGGGAAUCUCACCAAACUGAUACUCUUCGGCAACAACUUCUCCGGCGGCAUCCCGGGCAGCUUGGCCACGUGUGCUUCACUCGUGCGCGUGCGCAUGCAGAACAACCGGCUCAACGGCACCGUCCCCGGCGGCUUUGGCCGCCUCCCGCGGCUCCAGCGGCUCGAAUUGGCGGGCAACGAGCUCGGCGGCGAGAUACCGACCGACCUCGCGCUAUCGACGUCGCUGUCAUUCAUCGAUCUUUCGCACAACAAUCUCCGGUCGUCGCUUCCCUCGAACAUCCUGGCCGUGCCGACGCUCCAGAGCUUCGCGGCAGCCGACAACCAGCUGACGGGUGAAAUCCCGGACCAGUUCCAGGACUGCCCGGCGCUCGCGGCGCUCGACCUGUCGAACAACCGGCUGACCGGCGGCGUGCCGCCGGGCCUGGCGUCCUGCCAGCGCCUCGUGAAUUUGAACCUCCGGAGCAACCGGCUGGCUGGCGACAUACCGGCAGCGAUCGCCGCCAUGCCGGCGCUUGCCGUCCUCGACCUUUCAAGCAACUUCUUCACCGGCCCGAUACCGGAGAACUUCGGCAGCUCCCCGGCGCUCGAAACGCUCAACUUGGCAUACAACAACCUCUCCGGCCCCGUCCCCGGCAACGGAAUUCUACGUUCCAUCAAUCCCGAUGACCUCGCCGGCAAUCCGGGGCUCUGCAGCGGAGUGCUCCCGCCAUGCUCGGGUGCGAUCGGCCGCGAAUUCCCGACGACGAGCGAAAGGAUCGAGCACCUGAAGCAUAUUGCCGUCGGGUGGCUGGCGGGGAUUGCCGUGGUGGCUGCAUUGUGUGCCGCGCUCUUCGCCGGCCGAAUUGUGUACCGGAGGUGGUACGUGGACCGUGGCGGCGGCGGCGGAGGGUGCUGCGAUGACCACGUCGACGAGGAAAGCGGUGCAUGGCCGUGGCGGCUCACGGCGUUCCAGCGGCUUGGCUUCGCGACCGCCGACAUACUCGCCUGCGUCAAGGAGUCCAAUGUGAUCGGCAUGGGCGCCACCGGGAUUGUGUACAAGGCCGAGCUGCAGCGGCCGCAUUUGGUGAUUGCCGUGAAGAAGCUGUGGCGGCCGUCGAGGGCCGAGGGUGUGGGAUCGGAGCCCAGGUGCGAUAUCGCGGCGGCGGAAGUGAGCGUGCUGGGCCGGUUGCGGCACCGGAACAUAGUGCGGCUGCUCGGGUACCUGCACAACGACGCUGACGCGAUGCUGCUGUACGAGUACAUGCCGAACGGGAGCCUGUGGGAGGCGCUGCACGGGCCAGGAGGUGCUGGAGGGGGCCGGGUGCUCGCCGACUGGGUGGCGCGGUACAAUGUUGCACUGGGAGUGGCGCAGGGAUUGGCAUACCUGCACCACGACUGCCACCCGCCAAUCAUCCAUCGCGACAUCAAGUCAAACAACAUCCUGCUCGACGCGAACAUGGAGGCCCGCAUCGCCGACUUCGGGCUCGCGAGGAUGGUGGCGCACAAGAACGAGACGCUUUCGGUGGUCGCCGGAUCCUACGGCUACAUUGCACCAGGUAUUUGUCGGUAGUUCUCAGGCGUGAGACCGUCGAAUCCACCGUUUUGAUGCUAAAAAGUGUUUGAUGAAUUGCGCAGAGUACGGGUACACUCUGAAGGUGGAUCAGAAGAGCGACGUAUACAGCUACGGAGUGGUGCUGAUGGAGCUCCUGACAGGGAAGAGGCCGAUCGAGCCGGAGUUCGGGGAGAGCCAGGACAUAGUCGGGUGGAUCCGCGAGAGGCUGCGGAGCAACCGGGCGGAGGCGGUGCUCGACCCGAGCAUCGGCGGGGGGCAGUGCAAGCACGUGCAGGAGGAGAUGCUGCUGGUGCUGCGGAUCGCGGUGCUCUGCACCGCGAAGCUGCCCAAGGACCGGCCGUCGAUGCGGGACGUGCUCACCAUGCUCGGCGAGGCGAAGCCCCGCAGGAAGAGCGGGAGCUCCGGGGGCGGGAGCGGCGGCACGGCGGUGGCGAGCAAUGUGGUGGACAAGGAUAAGCCCGUGUUUAGCACCUCGCCGGAAUCCGGGUACCUUUGAUUCAGAAUAAGAGGCUCUCUUAUGGUUCAAUGUUUUGCUGAUUCUUAAUUUUGUAUGUAGUUUUUCUUCUUUUCUUUUUUUUUCCCUUCAUUUUUGAUUUGUAACAUUUGUGUAAGCAUGCACCAAUGAUAGUUGUGUAGAUUGAUUUUAUUAACAAAAAAACAAAGAAAAAUAAUUUGUGUAGAUGAAUGUAGGGAUUGUGAAUGAAUUAUUUCAGGAACUCAAAAGAUAGCCGGAUAAUAAUGCCAAUCUGAUUAAUUCAAUAAAAUCGUUACGAAUAUUAUACCAAAAAAAACAUCAAACCAAAUCAAACUCUCAAAUUUGACAAGCAAUUCAAAAAAAUAUUAUGAAAAAAAACAAGUUGUUUGUUUCAGAUUGAAUCAUAUUGCAAAGAAGUUGCAUUACAAAAAGGACUAUGAUCUGUUGGAUGAAGGCUUAUAUAGACAAAAGCCACUGAAAAAAAAGAAAAAAGAAAAAAAGAAAAAAAGAAAGAAAGAAACCACCUUGUUAUCUCUGGACCUUGAAAUUGCUCCCUCUUGAUUCCUGUUUCGAACCAAACACAUCAUACAACAGUAAACUGCGUCGGGGAAAAGCAAUUUCAAAAAUAUCGAAGUACACAACAUUGUAGCCCUUAGCCGCACCAUUGCCCACUUCAUAUAUACAGUGAUAAAUAUGAAACAUUGAUCAACUGAGUAACUAUAUUCCGGAGUUUUCUGUAUUGCAUAUUGCAUUUACAAGAGCCAUGGUUUCGUUUAUACAAACAUCGUUAUUAAGACGAUCGUAUAUAGUAUCUCAAAAAGAAAAGAGAGAAACAUACUGCAAAAUUUCCGAUCUUUGAGAGCUGUAGAUCUUAGAACCACCAAAAAGACAGUGCAGCGGCAGCAGCUGGAUCACGCAAGAUUGUGUCAUCGGUGUUCCAUUCUGAACGGUCAUGAUUGAGCUAAAUUUCGUGUUGGCAGCAGAAGAAGUAUGCCUACGACUUGAUUGGAUAUAGAAAUGUGAACAAAUAGAGAUUGAACUUCCGUUUAGAACAUGAAUUACAUCAGUGAGAUAAAAAGUACAAGAAACAGCAGUAGCUAGAGAUAAAUCAGAUAGGAAAGAUAGAUACCAUUCAAAGCACCACCAUCUAUGUAAGAAAGGCUACUAACCAUCGCAUUUACAACUCAGAAGCACUACUAGUUGUUAAAUUACUCCUGACAAAUUAUCCAGCUUGAAUUUUCAGUCUAUUGAGACAAUGUAGUUUAUCUUCUGAUGGAAAUUUCCAAAAAGAGAGACAUAAUAAGCUUUUGUAAUGAUAAGGCAAGGGGUUUGGGUAUAUAUGCAGACACAGAUGUGAAGAUGUGAAAACUUUCUACUGAUUCUGAUGAUUUCGACCUCACAACAUCAUAUAAUAUUCUUUCAAGAUGAAAGUGAAUCUAAAUGCACAGUAUAUGAUAACUAUCAGACAAUUUUUUGCUCAAUGUAUUAUUGUCAUGAAACACAUAUUUCUCAGGUAGUAAAGCAACAAGUUCAUAUACAUCCAACUUGCCUGACAGAAAAACGGCACAGACAACAAACUCCACUGCAGACUGAAAGUAACUAUUAUCACAUAACCAAGUGAUUGACGGCCUGCAAAAGUGACCUUUGAGUACAGCUGUUUGAAAAUGCACUAGAAACUUCCCUACCAAAAUAUGUUUUGUCAAUUUUUUGCUUUGGCACAAGUAGAUGAUUCACAUUAAAGCUUCUAUUUUUAAAAUCCAAAAGCUAAUUUUGACUUGCCCCACGGCAACAAUUCCAAACUUUUGAUAGAAUAGAGAAGAUACUUCAGAAGCAAGACAAAUAGACACUAAAGAAUAUUACAACAGCUAUUGUCCUCUUUUCGGGUGGGAAACUACAGAAGAGAAACAUUUUUUCUUGGACCAUUUGUUUAUUGGGUAUGUCUCAUUUCAGACUAUAUACACCAACUCGACACUAUGCUGUGCCAUGCACUAAGUAGCCCUAACUAACAUUGAGGCUUGCACUUAUAGCACUUGCAGUGUGUCUGCGUACAAGAUUAUAAGUUCACAACAGAAGCUUACCAAGUUCAUCCGUUUGAAUGUCACGGAUAACUACUUCUGUCGUGCUGAGUGCCAAGCAAUUAAUGAAGGUGACAAAGGGCAGAAUAAAACCUAUUGUACACCUAAUAGAGAUUACUAAAAGUAGUAGCACAGGGCAAGGCACAAAAUGUAGGACAUUAAAGGUCGAUCUGUUCAUUUCAGCUCCCCAAUGAGAGCAUACACAUUACUAUCAUUACCUGGUGACAUGUAAGGUAUUCUAAAAGGAAGUGAAUAUGAAAAUUCUACACAGUACAUGUGAAUCAAUAGUUCACCUGCUGGCACAAACAUCAUUUAUAGGUUCUAAAGAAAUCAAACUGACAUGGUCUGCAGCUGUAUCUCUGUAUCAUCUUGACAGAAGAUUUUGCAACUAAUACAUUAAAAAUCUAUGAUCAUUAUACAUUGAUAUUGGAUCAUUGGUUCUGAAAACCUUAAGGCGUAGGUGGCCUUGUAAACACAACAUACAUCAUAGCGCAACUAAUUGCAGCAGAAAAAAACCUAGUUAGAAGUUUACUGCAGAUUAACAUGCAACGAAUUCUAGGGAUAUUUUGAGAACAAAAACAUGCUCUUUCCACCCAAUAUAAAUUUUGGUAGUACAGAAAACAAGUAUUAACUAAUCUGGAACGAAUGAGAAGGUUACCAUCAAGGAAAAGAAAGCUUACCUCUCACAUCAAAGAAGUCCCUGAUGCCACAGGCACAGUGUCAAAAAAGGCUUCUGUAAUACCUUCAAAAUCUACAAUCUACUUCCCACAGGGAAUCACCCUAUGGUUGUUCAUCUCAAAAUGAUUCAAAAAAAAAAAAAAAAAAAUCUACGUUCUACCAAAGAACACUUUAGUGUCACUAUUGAGCUAACAUCCCGACGCAUUCUUGCCCUAUCCCAUAGUCGAUGCUCAGCUCCCGCAGAGGCGGAAUGUUCUCCAUAGCAAAGAUCAUUAUAUGAGGAUACGAUUCAGCAUCAUGACCAUAGAGCACAAACUGCACAAACACAUUUGGCACACUACUGUGGCUGAUAUAGCAGGCAACAUUCCGCUUCCUCGAAACAUCUAAAAAGUAACCCAGCUCGGGCCGAUUGGCAAACUCCGGGGGUGGGCGGUCGGGGAUUGCCUCAGAAACAUCACCCCAUUCCCUCCAUCUUUCUGGGAAUCGGGUGGGAUCGAUCAAAUAUGUAGCGUGCUCCGCAGAAACAUACUUAGCCUCCUCCCUUGUGAGCACCUCCCCGCUGAGCUCGCAAACGAAAGACCCGGCCUGAAUCACAUCCAAAGACCGGACCCCCCACCCCGUGUCUCUCGACCUGAACACCUCCAACUGAUGCCUCAUCCCCUUCUGCGCCACACGGUUAGGGCACGUCGGCGGGCACUUGCACGAAUCUCCGCACUCGAAGAUCACCGGCCGCCCUCGCAGGAGGACGCCGUUGCUAUAAGCGAACCCACACUUGUUCCUUUUCUCGCAGAGGCAAUUGGUCGAGCAAUCGGCGACACAUUUGCAGCCUCUCGGCGCCACCGCAGGGGAAGGGAAAUCAGGGCGAGCGACGUAGUCGAACAGCCGAGGAUCGACGUCCUCAUCGAUGUUGUUGAACAGCGGGACGGGGAGGAGCUCCCGCUUGCGCGAGAUGUCGCGCUUGGCAUAGCCCUCCGGCUUCGCCCCCGCGGCGAGCUGCGCCUUGAGGUGCUCGGCGAGCUUGAGGUUCUUAAGGCCGCAGUCAUCUUGGCCCUGCAUGCGGAGGAGCUUGAAGCGGAAGACAUGGCACCCGGAUCGGCCGACAUGGCGGUCGCAGUCGACGACCUUGUAGAGGCCGUCGUAGACGUAGACGCGGCCGGUGGGGGUGGCGUCGGCGGGGUGGGCGCGCACGACGCGGAGCUCGAUGCCGUAGGUCAUGCUCCGCUCGAGGGCGAGGUUGCCGCGCUCGAGCUUCUGGUCGGCGGAGUGCCACACGCUGUUGCGGCCGACGCGGCCGCCGCUGCCGGUGUAGACGAGGACGUCGUCGGCGGCGUCCUCGUCGUCCUGGUAGCCCCCGGAGGAGACGAUGCUCACGGCGAUGGGCUCGCCCUCGGGGACCUGGGACGCGGGGACGAAGUCGAUGCCGGCCUGGACGGCGCCGUGCACGCCGAGGACGCACAGCUCGGCGCGGUAGAGGAACACGUCCCCGACGGCGACCCCCGGGAUGGGGCCGACGAUGCGGCGGUCGCGGUGGAGCCACAGCCCGCGAUCGGUCAUCGUCUUCGCGGCGAUCAGGUCGGGGCGCCGGCGGCGGCCUGGGGACCCCCCCUCGCCGCCGCCGCCGCCGCCGGUCUCGUCCCGGAUGCUGCGGCGGCGAGCGUAGAGGCAGCGGAGGGAGUCGUAGGUGAGGCGCGCGCGGCGGACGAGGACGCGGAAGUAGGCGUGGUCGGCGGCGCCGAGGUGGGAGACGCGGACCAGGCCGCCGGAGCGGCGGCGGUUCUUGGGGCUAGGGUUCGCUAGGGCGACGGAGGAGAUCACGGAGGAGGGGGAGGGGGUGGCCGCCACGGCAGCGGCGGGGGAGGUGGCCGCUGAAGCGGCGGCGAGCUUGAGCUUGGCGAGGAGAAGGUAGUCGGAGAGGAGCGCGUCGUCGCGGGCGGCGGCGGGGGAAAGCUCGUCGAGGAGGCGGCGGAGGAGGUCGGGGGUGAGAAGCUGGCUAGGGUUUUCGCCAUCGCCGCCGCCGUCUCCGCCACCGUCUCCGCCGCCGCCAUUGAACUCGGAGGGCUCGAGCUUGGGGACGACGACGCCGGGAGUGGAGAGGAGGGAGAAGAGAGGGGAUUGGAGCGGCGAAGAAGACGACGCCAUUAGAGCACGAGAGAGUGAGCUCGAGCGACACGCAGAUUUCGAAUUUUUCGUCUUAAUGUUACUAAAAUACCCCUUCUCUUACGCCAAAUUACACGAACCAUUCACCGAAACUAAUUCGCUGCACCCGGUGUACAAAUACAUUUCAUGCACCACAACUUAAGUUCCUAUAAUAUAAAAAGAGAUAUCCACAAAUUUAAUUUUAAUUUUUUAUUAUAUUAAUUAUAGUUGUGGUUCAUGAAAUGUGAGUAUACAUCAAGUGCACGCAAAAUAAUAAUAAGAUUGUGUCUUUUUUCUUUUUUAAAAAAUUAAUUUUCUUUUCGCUUUGCAUUUCUUUGCAGUUUCUGUACGAUACACCAAUAAGACCCUACCAUUUAUGGAAAGUUUUUAACUGCACAUGGUGUAUACAUAAAUAUCAUACACCGCAUAUAUUAAAUACAAUACAAAUAAAAAAAUACAUUAAAAAUUUAUUAAUUGCAAAUAGAUACACCUCCUGAAUCCAAUAUAAAUAAAUAAUCUAUUUUUAUAAAAAUUUAAAAUUUUAAUCUUGAUGCAGUUUACGGACACGUGGUGCGCCAAGUCCACGCACUAUUUCCCAGAAGCGGAGAAUUGGGAGGCGGGAAAUGCAGUGAAGGAACCCAUAUAUAUUUACCCAAACUAUAAGGCUUAAUUACAAAAAUACCUUAAAUCUCAAUUACUUUUUAAUAAGUAAUUUUUUUAAAAUUUUUAUCUUUGGUUGUGUUUAAUUUCGAUAAAUUUUAGGCUGUUGUUUGGUUCGUAGGAAAAUAAAUAAUUUAUUAUUAUUAUUAUUAUUUAGUAGAAAGAAAAAUAAUUAUAAAUAAAAAAUUAUUAUAUUAUUUUUUUCUUAUUAUAUAUAUAUUAUAGGAAUAAUUUCAUAGAUGCCCUUCUAGAAACUAUUAAUUUCAUCAAUACGCUUCUAAAAUUGAUAAUAUCACAAAUACCCUCCAAUAUGUUAAAAAUUAUCAUAAAUACCCUCCAUUAGUUAAAAUCCGUUAAGACCGGUAUAAAACGGAGUUAAAUUUUCAAAAUACCAUUUUUACCCUUUAUCUCUUAUUAGUAGCAGAAAUGUUAAGAGGUAUUUCAAGAUAUUUUUUGUAAAUUUAAAUUUGAGUAUUUAAUAUAUACUAACUGAAUUUAAAUAUGGAUAAUUCUUGAAUAUUUUUUUUCAUUUAAAUUUUUAUAUAUAAUUAUUUAUUCGAUAAAAUAUAAAUAGAGCCAUAAAAAAAUCCAAAAAUUCUCAUUUUUUUAUACACUGAAAUUAGUUAAUUUUUUAAAAAACUAAAAGUUAAUGGGAUAUCACCGAAAAAAAUAAAAGUUGAGGGAGCUCUUUCAAAAUGGCAUAUAGUUGAGGGGGUCUCCAUAUAUUUUUACUUAAGAGAAACUUAAGGGUAAAUAAGUCAUUUUAAAAUUUAACCCAGCUUUAACUAUUUAAUAACUAUGGUAAAGCUAACAUAACUAACAGUAGGGGUAGUGAUGAUAAUUUUCUGUAUUUACAGGGAUAUAUGUGAUAUUUUAAACUUUAUAAGGAUAUCUAUGAUAUUUAAGACUUUAGGAGGGGUAUCCAUGAAAUUGCCCCAUUAUUAUAUAUAUAUAUAUAUAUAUUAUUAAUAGAUAAUAAUUAUUAUAUUAUAUAUAUUAGUAUUAUAAUUUGUAUUUAUAAACAAAAUAUAUUUAAACUAUAUUAUACAUUAAUUAAGUAUGUAAUAUGGCUGGGGCUACUAUACUCUUAUGAGUAUAGACCCUCUUAUACUCAUAAAUUUUUAACCGUUGAUUGAUGGGAUGUGUGGUUAGAGUGAUGGUGGUCCCCACCUAGAAUGAUAGUGGUCUCUUAGGAUUGAGCGAGUAGUUAGUUUAAUAGUAUGAUCUAACGGGUGAAAAUGAUCAAUAGAAUAAAUCGAAGAACCAAAAAUUUAUGAGUAUAAGGGAGCCAAUACUUAUAAAAAGUAUAGUAGCCGGACUCACGUAAUAUAAUAUAUAAUAUUAUAUAUUUAAUACUAUAAAAUAAGUUAUUAUGUAUUUAUAAAUAAUAUUUAUAUACAAAAUAUUACACAAUAAUAUAUUUAAAAAAUAAAAAAUUACAGUGGACUCACUUUCUCUCUUCUACAGUCCACGAGGUGAGGAUGAUCUCCUGGAUCGCGUGCUCAUAAGGCUUCUAAGUCGCAUUUUUUCAGCAAUGAGUUUUCGUUUUCCACAAAAAGAAGGUGAAAAUCGAAAAUUCGUUAUUUUUCGAGAAUCUGUAAAAAAAAAUUUUACAGGUAAUCAAACAUAGAAAAAAAAAAUUUCAACCGAAAAAAAAUUUUGCGGAGUAAUUUUACACAGAACCAACACAUCCUUACCUUUUUUUUUUUUUUUUCCAUCUCAUACAUAGUUUCUUGUAUUUGAUUGUAAUUUUCUAUAAAAAGUAAGUUUAUGAAUGGUACUAAGGUUUCAUUUUGGAUUGCGGAAAAAUUGUGUUACGUGCGGUGAGAAAGUACGAUAAAAAUAUAUUAUGUUUAUUUUCGUACAUAAUAUUGCGUUUCACAUAUCACGAUGAAUUUGUUAUGAUAUAUUUUUAGCUAAAUUACAAAAAAAACCCUGUAAUAACCCACUUUUCAGUUCCCCCCCUGACAUUUAGAAACCUACACUUUGCUUAGGGGGGUUACGGUGUGUAAAAUGACCAUUUUGCCUCUCGCCAUUUUCGUCUUCUUCCUCAUCUUCCUCAGCCGCCCUUUCGAUCGGCCGUGAUUCCCACCUCAAUCGGCUGCGAUUUCUCUCAAUUUCCUUCUCCACCUGCUCCCCUUCUCCUCCUGCACCCUCACCGUCUCUCGAUUUCGACGAUAGUUGGGAGAAAAUCGAGGUGAGUGUUGAUGGAGAGGUAGGUAAGGGCAACGAGGGCGAAGGCGAGGCGGCGGAGGAGGGCGAAGGGGAUGUGGGCAAGGGCGAGACAGUGGAGGACGGCGAGGUGGCGAGCCGGAGGGAGGCGAAGUAACAAGGAAGAGGGCGGAGGAGUAUUUUCGGCAUAAAAAAAUAUUUUAUAACGGAACCCUAACGGAACCUUAACGGUAGGGGAUGAAGUGCACAUUUUUCAUUUUACAAGGGGAUAAAGUGUAGAUUUUUAAAUGUCAGGAGGGAAAAGUGAAAAAGCGGGUUAUUAUAGGGUGAUUUUCUGUAAUGUAGUAUAUAUUUUUUACGGUCCCAAUGAAGAACGUAGAAGUAUAUUUCUGUAUAUUUUUACCCUAACUUUAUUUUAUCUAAUAGCGUUUGAUAAAACUUAAUACCAAACUAAGUUUAAGUAUGUUUAGUAAAAUUUGUCUCUGUAAACUUAAUUUUAUAAAAGUUAGUAACAAAAUUAGUUUAUAAUUGUAAAUUUAUUUGGUGUAAAAAUAAGCUAGAAGAUAAAAAUCAACAAAAAAUUUAAAAUAGAAGGCAAAUGAGACAGGUAGUGAAUUUAUUAUUUUUUUUGUUUAUGUAAAAUGUAAUUAAAACAUUUGCUAUUUUUUCAGUAGGGAUAAUUGGUUACAUAUUUUUUAAUAAAAAUUCUGAGAUUACAUCAAUACCUUUUUAAUUUUAAAAUUAUAUAAUUUUAUAAACUUUUAAAACUUAUAAAUAUAUUUUCAACCUAGCCAACUCCAAACGCAUUUACUAAUGCGCAAAAGUUUAAUGCUUAUGAUAUUUUAAUUGUCAAAUUUUAAUUUAUUAUAUUUUUAAUAUAAUUUUAAAAUUAUUUUAGUAAUUAAUAUAAUUUAUUUAAUUAAAUAAUAAUAUAUUCUCAAGAUGAUGGCACAUCCCUAUCACAUUAGGAUUACAUCAGUAUUUAUUAAACUAAAUUGUACAUAGAAUAUUAUUACAAUAAUUUAAAAAAUGAAUAAAAUUAUAAUAUAUUUAAAUUUGAGGGUCAAAGUGUUAGGUUUUCCAAAGGUUGGGUAUCAAAGUGCAAUUUAGACUGUCCGGAUUCGAUGAAUCUGCUGUUCCCCGUGUUCCUCUCCUCCGCGAGGGGACAUCGAAUUCAGUGUCACGGUUAAGUUACACAUCCACAUCGUUACACUGAAGGAACGUGCGCACAACACACGAUAAAACCCGUUACACCGAAGAAACCUCCCGAGCCUUCUCUCGUUUCCCCCCUCGCGGAGCAACAAUGGCGGAGAGCUCAACCCUAGUGCGAGCUCUGUGCCCUAGCCUCGUCACCUCGCGUUGCGCUCGCGGUUUACCUCUCGCAGCCCCCUCGCCUCUCCCAUCUCUCCGCCUCCGCCGCGUCGGAGGAGUGGCCUGGCGAGGGCGUGGGCGAGGGGGCUCCUUUUCCGUGCGAUCCAUGGCGGCGGCGUCGUCGGCGUCGUCGGCGUCGUCGUCGUCGGCGUCCUUCGGAUCGCGAUUGGAGGAGUCGGUGAAGAAGACGGUGGUGGAGAACCCCGUGGUGGUCUACUCCAAGACCUGGUGCUCGUGAGUAUCCCCAAGUCUCGUCGAGUUCUAUGGUUUGUUAGUGGGAGUUGCUAGGGUUUUGAUCUCUGAUUUGGGGGUUUUUUUUUUGUGGGGGGAAUUUGAGGUAUUCGUCGGAGGUGAAGUCGCUGUUCAAGCGGCUCGGAGUGGAGCCGAAGGUUAUAGAGCUAGAUCAGCUUGGUGAGCACUUUGUUUUGGAUUUUUUACAUUUUCCUCAUCAUUUUUUGUGUAUUAUUCAGUUAAUUUAGGGUUUAGUGGUUGCUAUUUUCUUAAUCAAGGGAUUUGUUAUUGUAAUUAUUGGUCGACUGUUCCUUUCUUGAGAUUAAAAUACGGAAAUUGGUAUGACUAAAAUGGAUUACCUGGAUUUCCCACUAGAAAUUUGAUGUUUCGGAUAAGCUGCUCAGUAUACGCGAGUUGAUUAUGCAUGUUUGUUUACCAAUUCAUUCCAUGUCUUAAUGUAGCAUUGGUAGCUUCUCGAGAAGUGAAUGGCAGUGCUUCAUAUGUCAUCAAUCGACAAAUUAUUAGAUAAAUCCUUUAAAAAGUGGACAAUUUUUUUGGUUGUUUUGUGUUUACCAUGGUAUGCAUGGCACGAAUGAUAUGCACAACUAAUAGCUCAAAAAUAAUUGAUUAAUGAUUAGAGAAGCAUUGGAUUCUUGAUCUAGAGUAAGUUAACAGAUUUUGAAAGUUUGUGUUUAUAUGAUGUGGGGCAAAAAAGAAAGCCUGUACAGUACUUGAUAAUAAAUGUGCAUAUUGCAGUAAAUAUAGUGCAGGCAUAGUAUGUAGGCUUGUUUAAUUGGUUAGGUGACAUUGAAAGGAGAGUCAUUGCUAUCACUUUUAGUCCUAUCAUCCUCUGACCCUCAUGUUUUUUCUGUCUUUUGAAUUUUGUACAUUAAUUAGAGGCCUUAGAAGAAGGCAAAACAUCUAUGUUGCCAUCUAUAUUCAUGCGUGGCUCCUCACUACCAAUUUAUGGUGUCUCAUGGUAGGUUUGUCCAUUUGAACUUGUUGAGGGUUUAGGGCCUAUAGGCUUAGCUUAGAUAAGUUGGGUAAUUGGCUAGCUUCUUUGCCGCUCAAAAUGAUCUGUUACUUGCACUCAUUUGUUCAAUUUGAUGGUUUCUGUGCUCAAAGUCACAUCUGCUAUCUAAAUGUAGUUGCCUCCUUCCACUCUGGACGCAUCCUGCUUUAAAUGACAUAAGAUGGUCUCUUUCGGUUUCUUUUCUCUUGCUAUAUCCCAACAUAUUGCUAAUCAUGUACUUUUAAGUAUUUCUCCUUAUGUUACCCUUACUAAAUUAUUUUGCAUUGUCCUAAUCACACCUUUACUUGUUAGAGAAUAAGACCUACUUAUUAUACUUCCUUUGUGACUGUGGUAUUAUUUCAAGCGGUUUUUCAGACUAUUUUGUUCAAUUCUGAGGCAGUGACGCUUUCACAUGUAAGAAGAGAAGUGGAUUGUGCCCACUUCGACUCUUUGAGGAAAACCUGUAUUGAUUAGGCAACAGUUGUAUGUAACCAUGAGAUAGAAAAAGAAGAAAAGUUAGAAAUAGAAGUUAGACUUGUCUUCAUUUUCCACUUAUCCACCUUACUUUUGAGAGUAAUAUGUACUUCCUUCCAUCAUAUUACUGAACACAAAAAAAUACAAAUUCUUGGGUCUUCCAGCCAAACAUCCACAAUAGGCUCUUCUUUUCAUGUCAGACUGGAUCCAAACCAAAUACCAUGUGAAAUGUGUGAUUGAAAUUUUAAGGGAUUGUUGGAGGAAGUGCAAAUUUGUCUUUGUAAUGUAGCUUGCAAGCUAGUAAGUGGUAAAAGUACAAGUUGAAUUAGUUGGUGUUUACAAGAUAGAGGAACAGAAAGAAUUAACGAGGUCGCAAAGUUUCUUGCUUUUUUCUUAAAAAAGUAGGAAAACAAGAACACCGCCAUCACCAAAUGAUGCUAACUUCAUAAUCUAUCAUGCUUGUUGGGAAAGGCCUCCAUGUAUGGAUGAGUUAAAGAGGUGCAAAUAAUAUGAUUUUUAAUCUUUUUGUGAGGAAAAGCAUCCUUACAGCAAGCUUUGCCCUCAGCAUCCACAAUUAAGCGUUCUUGGUUUUUCACUAGUCUAUUAUUUAAGAUCUGUUUGAGAAUAUUCAAUAUAGUGUUGAUAAGUGCUAUGUUAAGAAAACUUUGCACUUUCUUUGAUGAUAUGGUGAUGUCUCUGUGAAAUUGUUGUCCUCUAAAUAUCCAUAACAAUGUCAAAUUUAUUCUCAGGUCCUCAAGGGCCACAGCUACAAAAGGUGUUGGAAAGACUGACAGGACAAUCUACCGUUCCAAAUGUUUUUAUAGGUAUGCAAGACGACUUUACCCUCGAUCUUUGUGAUGAAUUCUAAUUCUCUCUUUGAGCUAUAUUACUUACCAAUUUGCAUCUCUAGUUGGGACAUAUGUAGUGAAAUGCAUUUGAUUUGUUAAGAUAUAUGUAAAUCCAGAACUAAUUGAUUACUGCAAAAUUCAACUUCUUUUAUUUUAUUUGAAACGUCUUGUUCAUUUAUAAAUAAAAUUUUGGUUGUUAAUAGUUUGCAUAAAAUUGUCAAGAUAACUUUUAAAGAGGUUAAGAAGAACAAGAAACAUGCUGGUGAAAUGGUCUGCUUUAAUUGUCUUUAAUAAAUUCUCUCUUUUUGAUACGAUCGACAUAAUUUAUCAACUACAAAAAAUAUACAUAAUUCUCUUACUUAUGGGCUUGCAAAGUAGUACUUCUAUGUGUUUGCGAUCCUAUAUAUCGACGGACUAUAUGGUCUCAUAGUCAGCAUUGCUCUAACUUGACAUUAAUAUAAUUAUCGUGUAUCUUAAAAUCUACUAAUUACUUUAUUUCUCAUAUAUGCAGGGGGAAAGCACAUUGGUGGUUGUACAGGUAAACAAUAAAUUUCCCUUUAUUUGUUGAUCUAGGCAACACAGUUCACUCUACAAAUGAUAGAUUCCUCUCUCGCCAGUAAUUUUUAAUGCUGGAAUUUCUAAUAAUUUGAUGGGUAAUUAUUUGAAUUAAUACUGUGAAAUGGUCCAAGAACUUGUUAAUGGACUAAUGGUUAUAAAGAGUAUUCUAUUUAAAAAUGCAUAGGCUUUCUCCCAGCGUGCAUUGUAUCCAUCUCCUGGAAAUUUCGCUAGACUGAAAUAAGGAAAACUCAAAAGCACAAUA